This 429-nucleotide ribosomal RNA is filed under the name Chloroflexota bacterium. Its description in RNAcentral is "Chloroflexi bacterium partial 16S ribosomal RNA". It matches the Rfam family "Bacterial small subunit ribosomal RNA", at positions 355 to 776 of the family's 1533-position model. Lineage: Bacteria; Bacillati; Chloroflexota. The record is from RNAcentral.
UGGGUAAUAUUGCACAAUGGGCGCAAGCCUGAUGCAGCCAUGCCGCGUGUAUGAAGAAGGCCUUCGGGUUGUAAAGUACUUUCAGUCGGGAGGAAGGUGGUAAGGUUAAUAACCUUAUCAAUUGACGUUACCGACAGAAGAAGCACCUGCUAACUCCGUGCCAGCAGCCGCGGUAAUACGGAGGGUGCAAGCGUUAAUCGGAAUUACUGGGCGUAAAGCGCACGCAGGCGGUUGAUUGAGUCAGAUGUGAAAUCCCCGGGCUUAACCCGGGAAUUGCAUCUGAUACUGGUCAGCUAGAGUCUUGUAGAGGGGGGUAGAAUUCCAUGUGUAGCGAUGAAAUGCGUAGAGAUGUGGAGGAAUACCGGUGGCGAAGGCGGCCCCCUGGACAAAGACUGACGCUCAGGUGCGAAAGCGUGGGGAGCAAACAGG